Molecule: ribosomal RNA, 478 nt
Filed under: uncultured bacterium
Lineage: Bacteria
Description: partial 16S ribosomal RNA
Rfam family: Bacterial small subunit ribosomal RNA
Source: RNAcentral
GACGAACGCUGGCGGCGUGCUUAACACAUGCAAGUCGAACGGUAAGGCCCUUCGGGGUACACGAGUGGCGAACGGGUGAGUAACACGUGGGUGAUCUGCCCUGCACUUCGGGAUAAGCCUGGGAAACUGGGUCUAAUACCGGAUAGGACUCCUGGCUUACUGGUUGGGGGUGGAAAGCUUUUGCGGUGUGGGAUGGGCCCGCGGCCUAUCAGCUUGUUGGUGGGGUAAUGGCCUACCAAGGCGACGACGGGUAGCCGGCCUGAGAGGGUGACCGGUCACACUGGGACUGAGAUACGGCCCAGACUCCUACGGGAGGCAGCAGUGGGGAAUAUUGCACAAUGGGCGCAAGCCUGAUGCAGCGACGCCGCGUGAGGGAUGACGGCCUUCGGGUUGUAAACCUCUUUCAGCUAUGACGAAGCGCAAGUGACGGUAGUAGCAGAAGAAGGACCGGCCAACUACGUGCCAGCCGCCGCGGUAA